CUAUGAUUAUAAGUUAAUCAUGGCGGAAGGAG
This 32-nucleotide non-coding RNA is filed under the name unclassified sequences. Its description in RNAcentral is "L31-Firmicutes ribosomal protein leader". It matches the Rfam family "L31-Firmicutes ribosomal protein leader". The record is from RNAcentral.